AACGCACAUUGCGCCCGCUAGUAUUCUGGCGGGCAUGCCUGUUCGAGCGUCAUUUCAACCAUCAAGCCCCCGGCUUGCGUUGGAGCCCUGCGGCUGCCGCAGGCUCCCAAAUCUAGUGGCGGGCUCGUCGUCGUACCGAGUGCAGUAAACAUCCUCGCUCAGGGAACGCGUCGGGUUCUUGCCGUGAAACCCCCCCUAUAUUAAGGUUGACCUCGGAUCAGGUAGGAAUACCCGCUGAACUUAA
Molecule: unclassified non-coding RNA, 244 nt
Filed under: uncultured Ascomycota
Lineage: Eukaryota; Fungi; Ascomycota
Description: sequence contains ITS2
Source: RNAcentral